Molecule: ribosomal RNA, 324 nt
Filed under: Rhabditolaimus sp. EF3
Lineage: Eukaryota; Metazoa; Nematoda; Chromadorea; Rhabditida; Diplogasteridae
Description: partial 28S ribosomal RNA
Source: RNAcentral
GCACAGUGCUGCCUGGCUGCGUUCGUGCUGCUUGGGUUUCCAAGGCGGACGUAGUCUUAGCUUGCUGGUAUUGCGCACGCUUUUACUGCUGGUAGUGCCGAUUGCCUCGGUUGCUCCUUCUGAACCGUUGAGUUGAGGCCCACUUCGGUGGUCACCUGCUUGAUGGGGAGGUUGUGUAGUGGCUGGGGUUCAUGAGUCCGGCCUUUGCGAGGGAUGCUUGUGUCUGCAUUCGAGGAAUCUUCUGGCAGGUCCAGGGUGAACUUGGGUGUUUGGUGCAGUGUAUACUUCGUUGGACUUGUUUUCGGCUUGAAAGUUGACCACCUA